GGAAAAUAAAACAAAACGCAAUUAAAGAAAAAUAAAAUAAAAAUAAUUACAACCAAGUCAAAUUCAAUCAAUUCACACUACUAGAAAAAUAAACCUCGAGUCCUCUGCAACGGUGCCAAAAACUUGUUGACAAAUUGGCAAGUGUACCAAAUCGUACAAGUAAUAUAAAUGGUAAGACCAAGUAUCGUUUUCCCAAGAGACUCGAAUGGCUUUCUCGUUCGCGUGAAUUAAAAUAAUAAGACUUGAAAAUAAAAAUUAAUAAAUUGGAUUUGAGAACAAAAAUAUUAACAUGCAAANUANNGNUGAUUCAAUUGACAAAAGAAAACAAUGGAUGAAUGGAUGUUGUUGGGGGUUUACAAUUUCAUCUAUUCCGCUCUCUCUUACCUACUCCUCUUGAAUAUUAGUUUGAUUAAUUAAUUGUUAUGCGACUUUCUUAGCCUCCCCUUAACCUGAUCCCUCGGCGAAAAGAGCCUAAUAUUAACUACUGGCUUGCUAUCCCUAGCCUCCCCUAGCAACUAAUACC
This 523-nucleotide long non-coding RNA is filed under the name Vigna radiata. Its description in RNAcentral is "long non-coding RNA (VRAD_LNC013209)". Lineage: Eukaryota; Viridiplantae; Streptophyta; Magnoliopsida; Fabales; Fabaceae. The record is from RNAcentral.